UACGGAGGGUGCAAGCGUUACUCGGAAUCACUGGGCGUAAAGCACGCGUAGGCGGGUUGUCAAGUCAGGUGUGAAAUCCUACAGCUCAACUGUAGAACUGCAUUUGAAACUGGCAACCUAGAGUAUGGGAGGGGAAGAUGGAAUUAGUGGUGUAGGGGUAAAAUCCGUAGAUAUCACUAGGAAUACCUAUAGCGAAGGCGGUCUUCUGGAACAUAACUGACGCUAAGGUGUGAAAGCGUGGGGAGCAAACAGG
This 253-nucleotide ribosomal RNA is filed under the name uncultured prokaryote. Its description in RNAcentral is "partial 16S ribosomal RNA". It matches the Rfam family "Bacterial small subunit ribosomal RNA", at positions 524 to 776 of the family's 1533-position model. The record is from RNAcentral.